Molecule: ribosomal RNA, 492 nt
Filed under: uncultured bacterium
Lineage: Bacteria
Description: partial 16S ribosomal RNA
Rfam family: Bacterial small subunit ribosomal RNA
Source: RNAcentral
AGUGAACGCUGGCGGUAGGCCUAACACAUGCAAGUCGAACGGCAGCACAGUAAGAGCUUGCUCUUACGGGUGGCGAGUGGCGGACGGGUGAGGAAUACAUCGCAAUCUACUUUUUCGUGGAGGAUAUCGUAGGGCAACUUACGCUACUACCGCAUACGACCUACCGGUGAAAGCAGGGGAUCUUCGGACCUUGCGCGAUUCAAUGAGCCGGUGCCGGAUUAGCUAGUUGGCGGGGUAAGGGCCCACCAAGGCGACGAUCCGUAGCUGGUCUGAGAGGAUGAUCAGCCACACUGGAACUGAGACACGGUCCAGACUCCUACGGGAGGCAGCAGUGGGGAAUAUUGCACAAUGGGCGAAAGCCUGACCGAGCCAUACCGCGUGAGUGAAGAAGGUCUUCGGAUUGUAAAGCCCUGUUAUUAGGGAAGAAAAGCAGCGGGUGAAUACCCCGCUAUUCUGACGGUACCCAAAGAGUAAGCACCGGCUAACUUCGUG